UGUUUGCACCCCAGUUCAUCUCUGGGCAGGGUUGGGUUUCAAGAACUCCUGCAGCUGUUUUCAUGUAGCAGGUUAAAACAAGACCUACAAUACCAGCAUCCCAGACGGGCACAGGUUCAUGUCCCAGCUAUUGCAAUUCUGAUCCAGCUCCCUGCUGAUGGCAGUGGAAGAUGACCAAUUGCUUGGAACCCUACACUCAUUUGGGAGAUGCGGAUUAAGUUCCUGGCCCCUGACCUGGUCCUGGUUCACCAUGGAUGGAAGUCAGUCUGUCAGUCUCUCUCUCACUCUCUAUCUCCCUUUCUUCUUUUUCAUGUAUCCCAUGGGAGCAUGUGCCUGAUGACAGCACUGGGCCCCAGGGACAGUGAGCAUCCCUGCCUGGCCCUGGGAUGCCUGUGUGCCUGGUCACCAAGACCUGCUAGGCCUCUGCCAUCAGGGUAGCCACCUCCCCUGUUCCUUCUCAGCCCUGGGCUGAAGCUCAGGCAGGAGGAGGGUGACACUGGUCCUUUCCUGGCCUUGCCUGGGAGAGGAACAGUGCUUGGUUUGGGACCCAUUUAAUAAUUCUUUCUUUUACCUUUCAGUGAGAAACUUCCCAACAAUGACACCGUUGGGAAGAAGUAUAAAUUCCAGGCAGCUCGCAGAGUACAGAAAUGGAUUAAAAUGCUUAAAAACCAUGACAAAUAUUGCAGCACCAAAAAGUUUCAUAGGAGAGUUUCCAAGGGUAUCCCUGCCGAGGUGCGUGGGGAGGCUUGGUCUAUGAUCCUGGAUAUACAAAAGAGGAAGACCCAGAACCCAGGGCGAUAUGAGGUAUGCCAGGGCCCUGAGCCUGAGGUGGCCCACCUUCUCAGGCCUGGCCAGGAGCCAGCGGCUCUCGUGUGGUGGACAUUGAAGCCCAGGCUGAGUGGCCCUUCAGGUGGGCCUAGGGUUCCCCUUCCCCUGGCCUUCCUCUCUGGAUCUUGCUUCAGUCUUCCUGCUCAUCUCCAUAGACUCCGCUGGGCCUGGCCACCUGCACAUCUGCUGGAGGCACAGCCCUCCUCCUUGUUGGGCCCCCACCCCCAGCUGCUUGGCCACAGGAAGGCCCAGAGCAGGUGCAGGGUCCCGGUGAAGAGACUGCUUGGAGUGAGAGCACGGUCACGUGUGCUAGGGGCCCUCAGCUGGUUCUGUCUGCACCCACAGGGGAGUGAGCUUCCUCAGGGAACUCGCUCCUUGAGCCAGAAGAGCUGCUGUGGACGUGGGGUGCUUGAGGGGUGGUGGGCCCGUGCCUGGCACUGAGGCUGGUGUCUCCCCCUUGCCCCGCCCUGCAGCAACUGAAAGAGAGGGCCAGGCUCUGCUCAGACCAUGUUCAGGAGAUCGAUGUGGAUAUUUUGUGG
Molecule: long non-coding RNA, 1367 nt
Organism: Ochotona princeps (American pika)
Lineage: Eukaryota; Metazoa; Chordata; Mammalia; Lagomorpha; Ochotonidae
Exons: 3
Source: RefSeq, a predicted model, not a curated record